This 608-nucleotide unclassified non-coding RNA is filed under the name Hevea brasiliensis (rubber tree). The record is from RNAcentral. Lineage: Eukaryota; Viridiplantae; Streptophyta; Magnoliopsida; Malpighiales; Euphorbiaceae.
GACUUUGGAAUGGCAAGGAUUUUCGGGACUGAUCAAACACAGGCCAGUACAAAACGAGUGGUUGGUACAUAUGGCUACAUGUCUCCAGAAUACGUAGUAUAUGGCCAAUUCUCGGAGAAAUCAGAUGUAUUCAGCUUUGGAGUAUUGUUGUUGGAAAUCUUGACUGGUGAACGAAACUCAGACUUCUUCACAACUGAAGUUUGUGUAUCUCUAUUAGGAUGGGCAUGGAAAAUGUGGAAAGAAGGAAGAAUGUUGGAGUUGAUUGAUCCAUCAAUAAGGGCAAUCUGCGACAGUAACAAAGCAGCACGGUCUGUUCUGGUUUCUCUUCUUUGCGUUCAAGAAGUUCCUACUGAUCGACCAACAAUGUCUGAUAUAGUUGUCAUGUUAAGCAACGAAACAACACCCAUCCCUGAGCCAAAAGAACCGGCUUUCCGCAGCAGCUGGCGACAUCAAACGUCAAGCGAUUUCUCCAUAAAUGAGUUGACAUUAACUUUGCCAGUACCUAGAUGAGAGGAUUUAGCUUUCUAUUUCUCUUAUGGAAUUAAUAUUAUUUUGUAAAGAACCAUCUUCUCAAAAAUGUUUAGCACUGUAAAUAAAAAAGAAUCAAA